RNAcentral lists this ribosomal RNA (496 nucleotides) under uncultured bacterium. Its description in RNAcentral is "partial 16S ribosomal RNA". It matches the Rfam family "Bacterial small subunit ribosomal RNA", at positions 28 to 506 of the family's 1533-position model. The record is from RNAcentral.
GAUGAACGCUGGCGGCGUGCCUAAUACAUGCAAGUCGAGCGAACAGACGAGGAGCUUGCUCCUCUGACGUUAGCGGCGGACGGGUGAGUAACACGUGGAUAACCUACCUAUAAGACUGGGAUAACUUCGGGAAACCGGAGCUAAUACCGGAUAAUAUAUUGAACCGCAUGGUUCAAUAGUGAAAGACGGUUUUGCUGUCACUUAUAGAUGGAUCCGCGCCGCAUUAGCUAGUUGGUAAGGUAACGGCUUACCAAGGCAACGAUGCGUAGCCGACCUGAGAGGGUGAUCGGCCACACUGGAACUGAGACACGGUCCAGACUCCUACGGGAGGCAGCAGUAGGGAAUCUUCCGCAAUGGGCGAAAGCUUGACGGAGCAACGCCGCGUGAGUGAUGAAGGUCUGCGGAUCGUAAAACGCUGUUAUUAGGGAAGAACAAAUGUGUAAGUAACGAUGCACGUCUGGACGGUACCUAAGCAGAAAGCCACGGCUAACUACGG